This 253-nucleotide ribosomal RNA is filed under the name uncultured bacterium. RNAcentral's name for it is "partial 16S ribosomal RNA". It matches the Rfam family "Bacterial small subunit ribosomal RNA", at positions 524 to 776 of the family's 1533-position model. The record is from RNAcentral.
UACGUAGGCAGCGAGCGUUGUUCGGAAUUACUGGGCGUAAAGAGUGCGUAGGUGGUGGUCCCAGUCUGUUGUGAAAUCUCCCGGCUUAACUGGGAGGGUGCAGCGGAAACUAGAAUGCUAGAGGGUGGGAGAGGUAAGGGGAAUUCCUGGUGUAGCGGUGAAAUGCGUAGAUAUCAGGAGGAACACCUGUGGUGUAGACAGCUUACUGGACCACUUCUGACGCUGAGACACGAAAGCGUGGGUAGCAAACAGG